Molecule: ribosomal RNA, 96 nt
Filed under: Aeromonas salmonicida subsp. salmonicida
Lineage: Bacteria; Pseudomonadati; Pseudomonadota; Gammaproteobacteria; Aeromonadales; Aeromonadaceae
Description: partial 16S ribosomal RNA
Rfam family: Bacterial small subunit ribosomal RNA
Source: RNAcentral
ACUUAAAUUGAAGAGUUUGAUCAUGGCUCAGAUUGAACGCUGGCGGCAGGCCUAACACAUGCAAGUCGAGCGGCAGCGGGAAAGUAGCUUGCUACU